RNAcentral lists this ribosomal RNA (253 nucleotides) under uncultured bacterium. RNAcentral's name for it is "partial 16S ribosomal RNA". It matches the Rfam family "Bacterial small subunit ribosomal RNA", at positions 524 to 776 of the family's 1533-position model. The record is from RNAcentral.
UACGUAGGGGGCAAGCGUUGUCCGGAAUUAUUGGGCGUAAAGAGCUCGUAGGCGGUCUGUCGCGUCUGCUGUGAAAACUCGGGGCUUAACCCCGGGCCUGCAGUGGGUACGGGCAGACUAGAGUGCGGUAGGGGAGACUGGAAUUCCUGGUGUAGCGGUGAAAUGCGCAGAUAUCAGGAAGAACACCAAUGGCGAAGGCAGCUCUCUGGGACGGUACUGACGCUGAGACGCGAAAGCGUGGGGAGCGAACAGG